Molecule: ribosomal RNA, 843 nt
Filed under: Triticum aestivum (bread wheat)
Lineage: Eukaryota; Viridiplantae; Streptophyta; Magnoliopsida; Poales; Poaceae
Description: partial small subunit ribosomal RNA
Source: RNAcentral
AUGGAUAUUGCCAUCUUUAAUUGGAACGUGAGAGGCUUGGGUUGCCCUGCCAAGCGAAGAGCGGUUGCAAAAUUGAUUGCUGAGAAGCGCUGCAACAUUGUUUGUUUGCAAGAAAUCAAAGUUCAGCUGAUUGACAGGGCCUUUGUUACUGAAGCUGCUGGUAUCAAAUUCUGUGAUAAUUUCAUCUGCUUACCUGCUACAGGCUCGAGGGGUGGAAUUUUGAUUGCUUGUUCAGAUGAUUUUACCAUCUCUAGAGAGCUGGCUGCUCAAGGUGUUCAUUCCAUCACUGGGACGAUAACUGACAAAUCCAGCAAUCUGUCCUGGUCAAUUACCUCCGUUUAUGGUCCCCAGCUUGAUUCUGACAAGAUUGUGUUCCUCCAAGAAAUUCGGGAUCUUGAGCCACACGUCAAGAAGGAGUGGCUGAUUAUUGGUGAUUUUAAUUUGAUUGCAAGGGCUGCUGACAAGAGUAAUAACCUCAUUAAUCUCCCAAUGCUUGGCCGGUUCAGAAGCUUGAUUGACUCCUUGCAGCUUCGGGAAAUGCCUCUGUUCGGAAGACGCUUUACUUGGUCCAAUGAAAGAGAACAAACUACUCUCGCCAGGAUAGACAAGCUGCUCUUCAUUGUCGACUGGGAAACUAUGUUCCCUCAGUACCACCUGUCUCCUGCUUCAACGGCUAUCUCUGACCACUGCCCGCUUAUCAUGAAGAAGAUGGAGCUUAAAAGAUGCAAGCCUUUCAGAUUUGAGUCCUUCUGGCUGGGGCUGCAGGGCCUGGAUGAAAUUGUUGCUGACGCUUGGAGAAAACCUUUGCAUUCCUCAGACCCAAUUAGAAACUUCCAAUGCUAA